CAUGCCGUAAACGAUGAUCACUAGCUGUUUGCGAUAUAUUGUAAGUGGCAAAGGGAAACCAUUAAGUGAUCCACCUGGGGAGUACGCCCGCAAGGAUGAAACUCAAAGGAACUGACGGGGGCCCGCACAAGCGGAGGAACAUGUGGUUUAAUUCGAUGAUACGCGAGGAACCUUACCUGGAUUUAAAUGGGGAGUGACAGGCUUAGAGAUAGGUUUUUCUUCGGACACUCUUCAAGGUGCUGCAUGGUUGUCGUCAGCUCGUGCCGUGAGGUGUCGGGUUAAGUCCCAUAACGAGCGCAACCCACGUUGUUAGUUACCAGCAUGUAAUGAUGGGGACUCUAACAAGACUGCCGGUGUAAACCGC
RNAcentral lists this ribosomal RNA (364 nucleotides) under uncultured bacterium. Its description in RNAcentral is "bacterial SSU rRNA". It matches the Rfam family "Bacterial small subunit ribosomal RNA", at positions 796 to 1166 of the family's 1533-position model. The record is from RNAcentral.